GCUGCGGCGGGUGUCGGAGCCGGCGCCGGGGGGGGCUAGGUGCCGCUGCUGGCCUGUCUCGGCAGCCGGAAGGAGAGGAAGGAAGUAGCAGCAGUAGGAGGCGCCUCGGAACUCGCCGCCGGGCCAGGCGCCCUCGCUUCGCUCCUCUCCUCCCCCAGCUCCGGUGCGAGCCGCCACCGCCGGAGACCAUGAGCCUGAACGAGCACUCGAUGCAGGCGCUGUCCUGGCGGAAGCUUUACCUGAGCCGGGCCAAGCUGAAAGCCUCCAGCCGCACCUCUGCGUUACUCUCAGGGUUCGCGAUGGUGGCUAUGGUGGAGGUUCAGCUAGAAACCAAUUAUCCCUACCCUCCAGGUCUCUUGAUAGCUUUCAGUGCCUGUACUACUGUGCUUGUUGCUGUUCACCUCUUCGCUCUCAUGAUAAGUACCUGCAUUCUUCCAAAUAUAGAGGCUGUUAGUAAUGUGCACAAUCUCAACUCUGUAAAGGAGUCUCCGCAUGAGCGUAUGCAUCGGCAUAUUGAGCUCGCCUGGGCAUUUUCCACUGUCAUUGGGACUUUGCUCUUCCUUGCAGAGGUGGUGCUGCUGUGUUGGGUGAAAUUUCUUCCACAAGGGAUGCCUUGCAGUAAUCCAGUCUGUGACAAUUCUACUAUCACCCCAGGAGCAGGAACAGCAGCAGCCAUUGCCUCAACAUCUAUUAUGGUUCCUUUUGGAUUGAUUUUCAUUGUGUUUGCAGUCCACUUCUAUAGGUCACUGGUGAGCCACAAAACAGACAGGCAAUUUCAAGAAUUGAAUGAACUUGCUGAGUUUGCACGACUCCAGGAUCAGCUGGACCACAGAGGCGACACCUUGCCUCCUUCUGGCAGCCAUUUUGUAUAAAACUGUAUUUUGUUUAAAAAUCCACUUUUUGUUUCUGCCUUGCUAUGUUGACUCCCCUCUGCAUAAGCUAGCUGGACUGGGAUUGAUUUUAAAGAGAGAUUAAGUACUGUGCUAAUUUCUUACAGUAAAAAAAUACCAUGACAUCUUAGACAUCUAACGAGAUUGAUGUUGGGGUAUGGCUGCACUGAGCAUGCAUCUCUCAUCCUUCCUCUUAUCGUCUGGAUUGUUUUUUUUAAUGUUGAAUGGUGAAUAUAUUAAUGGAUAAGAGGAGUUGAAAGUUAGUAUAUUCCCACCCCUAACAUAUACUUUGGUAUAUGUUAGGUGUGGGAGGGAAGCCUUAGUUCUCUCUCUUUGAUGUUGGUGUUGGCUAGAAAGUAUUGCUGGUCCAAUACAUGUUGCAUGGCACAAUACAAAUUACUUGGGACAUGUAGUAAUUAGCAUUUGGUUUCACUGCUAAUGCAGUGAUCUCUAAAAGUCUGAUGAAAGGUAAAAUUGAGAGCUUUUCCACCUUCCCUUUUCCCACUAGAUCCCCCAAUCAUGUUUUUCUGCCAAGUAAUUAUUGCUUUACUAAUUUCUAUAGGGCAUUUUUCAUGGCAGCUAUAAAUUCUUACUCUCCAGAUACUCAUGACCAGUCCUAUUGUGAUGUGAUCUGAUCUGCAUCUGUAGGACUGGGGCCCUAACUUUACUCUUCUUUUGGGAAGAAAAUACAGAGAAAAGCAAUACCUGCUUUAAUGUUCGUGGGAGCAGAUAUGUUAUCAGAAGUGAUAAAAUUGCCUGUUUUCAUUGAGGAAUCAUUUUGAAAAGAAAAAAUAGAUGGAGAAGCUACCACUAGAUUUUUUUUCUCCUUGCUCGAAAACUUGCCAUUCAGGGCUUUUCUCUAGCAAUAACAUACACUGGUAGAGACUUAACCACAGUAGAACUACUGCUAUGGUUCCAAACCAAAGUAGCAAAUAUUUUAUACUUUUUAUAUAUUAAAUAUAUUUUUGAAUAAAUUCUCAGAUACAAAUGAUAAAAGGCGCUUUGUGUGUGUGGGAAUUCCAAGUAAUUAGCUGUACCUUGAUCUUGUUUGGUAGAAAAAUCUUCUGCUUGCUCAAAUAUUGCAUUUAAGAUGUUAAAAUCUUAAUUACAUGUGAUUUUUGCUUCCAAAAUGUAGUGGAAGACCACUUAUUGCUAUACAGACUUAUUUAUGAAAACAAAUGAUUUUUAUUUUAAGUAGUAUUGCUUCUUAAUUGUAAGACAUAUGCAUCUUUUAUUGAAUUAAGCUAUUGUUUUAGUCUCAAGCUAUUGUGUCAAAUUCUAACUUCUUCCUCGAGCAAAAACUCACACUUGACAAGGAUUAUAGGAUUUGGCUUCAACUCUUUCAGAAUUUGUGUGACUCUAGAUACAUUAAAAAAUGAAUGUUGGCUUUUGGACAGCAUUUCUGCUACCUUCACUGAAGGAUGGAAAUGGGUGGGUUAGUUGGUGAAAAAUCUCUUUGAACCCAGAAACUACCAGUUUCUGAUAUGUUCAGCUCCCAUGGAACAGAAUUGGGAUCUCAGCUCGUAGCUGCUAAUAUAGAAUGUAAUCCUGUAAUUUUGUGAUGGAGGUAACAAAUUCAGUUGUGGCCUAAUCGGAGCUGUGCCUCUUUGACUUUAAGUGAAGCUGUGCAUGCUUAUGCCUACAUUGAAUGUAGUCAAUUAUACCUGACCUCUUUAAUAGACGUAUUCAACAUGCUUUACAAAUGAAGGUCCUAAUUUUGCAAAACUGGCUCCUGAGAGUAGUACUUACUAUGAUGAGUAGUCUCACUUGCAUCAAUGCAACUGACUUAUUAGUGCAAGCACUACACCCAGUAAAAUGAGUUAACAAGACAAAGUGCCGUUUAUAUUCUGAAAAAUUACUUUAAAAAUUGUAUCCAAGUGCUGUGCCUAUAUCUGAGUGACAUAUUUGCUCCUAUUAUGCUCUGUUCACGAGCAAAAAAUAGUUUUUGAGUUGCCAUCCCCAAAAAGUCCUGGAUAUGAAAGUCAAACAGAAAUUCUCUCUGGUUUUGACAUUAACAGUUGUUUUUUUUGCAGCUGAAAUAUAAUAGUUGGUGAGCAGAAUUCCACUCACUGUUCCACAACUGUUUGUUCCUGCAGAGCUAAUGGAAUUAAAUUAGUAAAAACUUUAGUAAAUGGUAUUCUGAAAGAGUCAUGAAAUACCUUCCUUACCCUGGGAAAGUAGACUUUUAGAAAGCUGUGGUAAAGUAAGCAUACUGGAGCAAUAUCUUAAAGGGACACUAUCAAGUUUAAAUAACAUUACACUUUUCUGAAAGCCUUGUACCUUACAACUUAUUUAUAACUCUUAAAAAUUACUAUAGAUGAAAGAGGAUAGUAAAUAAAUAAAUACAUAUUUUUUGGUGUGUAGAAGGGGGUCACUUUAAUUAUUUCUCCUGGAUUGGUCACUUUUCCCCUAUUCUAUGAGUCUUUCACAAAGCAACAGCAGACAAAAACUUUUAAAAAUAGAAAAUGUGGGUUUGUAAAAGUACAAGGGAAACAGGGCACUUUAUUAAUUUUUUUUAAGAUGUUUGGAUUCCUUUUAAAUUAGAGCUAUUACUAGUCAUUUUUCUGACCAUAACUGCCCUCUAAGCCUUUAGGCACAGCUCAUGUAUGUAUUUUCCCCAUUCUUCAGCUGAGGAAAUGAACACAAAAGAUGUGCCUUGUGCAGGAUCAUAUAUUAACUGCAUGGCAGAGACAGAAAGACCAGAACUCAUGAUGUCAAGUCUGUUCUGCAAACAGUAGAGUGCACUCAAUUUUAUUUUGAUCCCUUGUUAUACUAAUGGUAUUAAGCAUCUACUUAAAACAGUUUAAACACCAGUUACUGUAUAUAUUACAUUUAUAUGUAACAUUGAAAUAAAACAUGCUUAUAAUUUGUCUUGCCACCAAGACAUCUGACA
RNA transcript from Gopherus flavomarginatus (Mexican gopher tortoise), 3783 nucleotides. It is a transcript of the gene named ORAI calcium release-activated calcium modulator 1, with no coding region annotated. The record is from RefSeq and is a predicted model, not a curated record. Lineage: Eukaryota; Metazoa; Chordata; Testudines; Testudinidae. The transcript has 3 exons.